GACGAACGCUGGCGGCGUGCUUAACACAUGCAAGUCGAACGGUAAGGCCCUUCGGGGUACUCGAGUGGCGGACGGGUGAGUCACACGUGGGUGAUCUGCUCUGCACUUUGGGAUAAGCCUGGGACACUGGGUCUAAUACCGAAUAGGACCACGCGCUUCAUGGUGUGUGGUGGACUGCUUUUGCGGUGUGGGAUGGGCCCGCGGCCUAUCAGCUUGUUGGUGGGGUAAUGGCCUACCAAGGCGACGACGGGUAGCCGGCCUGAGAGGGUGACCGGCCACACUGGGACUGAGAUACGGCCCAGACGCCAACGGGGGGCAGCGGUGGGGAAUAUUGCACAAUGGGCGCAAGCCUGAUACAGCGACGCCGCGUGAGGGAUGACGGCCUUCGGGUUGUAAACCUCUUUCGAUUGGGACGAAGCGCAAGUGACGGUACCUGAAGAAGAAGCACCGGCCAACUACGUG
Molecule: ribosomal RNA, 462 nt
Filed under: uncultured bacterium
Lineage: Bacteria
Description: partial 16S ribosomal RNA
Rfam family: Bacterial small subunit ribosomal RNA
Source: RNAcentral